This 273-nucleotide ribosomal RNA is filed under the name uncultured bacterium. RNAcentral's name for it is "partial 16S ribosomal RNA". It matches the Rfam family "Bacterial small subunit ribosomal RNA", at positions 85 to 354 of the family's 1533-position model. The record is from RNAcentral.
CCGCCGGCGACCGGCGCACGGGUGAGUAACACGUAUGCAACCUGGCCGUGACAGAUGGAUAACCGGGAGAAAUCCCGCCUAAUACAACAUAAUGCCGGGAGGGGACAUCCCCUGCCGGUCAAAGGGGGCGACCCCGGUCACGGAUGGGCAUGCGGCGCAUUAGGUAGUUAGUGGGGCAACGGCCCACCAAGCCGACGAUGCGUAGGGGUUCUGAGAGGAAGGUCCCCCACAUUGGAACUGAGACACGGUCCAAACUCCUACGGAAGGCAGCAG